Xenia sp. Carnegie-2017 is the source of this 313-nucleotide long non-coding RNA. RefSeq lists it as uncharacterized. The transcript is spliced from 3 exons. Lineage: Eukaryota; Metazoa; Cnidaria; Anthozoa; Malacalcyonacea; Xeniidae. The record is from RefSeq and is a predicted model, not a curated record.
UUGUUUGGCGUGCCAUAACUUCACGUACGUCAUACGUUGCGAAGCAGGAAAUUGAGUCUCUGAAAUUCUCACGGAAGAAAAUCAAAUUACAUGGUGAAAAUGGUAAAGACAAAUUUAGUAUUUUCGACUGUUACAUUGAUCACAUUUCUUGGUCUUGCCAAAGGAACAAUAACAUCUCCACCUGAUGGUCAAAGAUUUGUAUUUUUACCUGGAUCUUCUCACAAUAUAACUUGGACAUUAAAUGUUACUGGAAACAUUCGUUUAUGGCAGUGGAGUUUAACACCUCGUGGUUCAUCUCCCUCAACAAAUUGCA